AGCACAGCGCAGGAGCUCUCAGACUACCUCAGAUGCCAAGAGCCUGGUUUGAAUACAAGCCUUGCCAUUGUGUGACUUUGGGUUUAAAGACCCCUGACGUGACUUAUUGCCAUUCUGCUACUGAGCCUUGAGAGAUUAUGGUAAGUGCCAAGAAAAAAAAAAUGACUUUGAACUGCUCUUUCACCAGUUAAAAAUAACACUGAAACCAAAUGUAAACAUAAAAGAAGUGGUCAGAUUCGGGUUACAUAUUAACGGUGUUUGGUCAGGCUGGAGCUGAGGCACAGCAGCAGAGAAUGCCUUUUACUUAUCACUGUUUCCAAACCUCCCUACCUGGACUAGGCUUGACUGGAUUUACAAGAGACCUUUUGAAAAGAUGCAGAGAAGGCAAGCAGCACACAUUUCCUGGUAAUAAAUUUUAAAGGUUGCUAAAACAUUCCAGAGAUUUUCACUCAACAUUCCUCUGGCCAACACAUCUGCAAUCUGCCAAUCCUUAAAAAUAGGUGUUUUUGCAUUUUAAUCUCACAAACAUCUUUGAAAAUGCAUUUCUUCUCUGCCCCUGUGUUGGACAAAUCCAGCUUUUUCCAUUUUCUAAAAACCACAGAAAUAUAAUGCUGCUUAAUUCAUACAAGACUGAGCUAACUGGAGUUAAAAUAAAAUUUCUGAGAGUUUGUUUGGCUCACUCUUCCCUACCAGAUGAUUCCAUUCUUAAAACGGUCCUGUGAUUAUAUUCUCUCAUUACAGAGGUGUCCAGAAAAAAAAUAAGGAGUGCAGUUCUGAAAUUAUAUAAAAGCAAAAUUAUUACUCUAAACGUAAGAGCUGUGAUAGAUCGUGUCAUUGACCAUGGUUCUUUUCCCCUGACACACACGUCCCCACCACCCACCCACUGUAUCCAUAUGCCUUUUGCCAUAUGACUUUGCAGCUCUCCCCACUAAAGGGGCAGCCAUGCGAUUUGCUUUGGCCAAUGAAAUGAGGCAGUAGUGGUGGUAUCCUAGUUCUGAGCCUAGGUCUCAAGAAGUCUUAUGUGUUUCUGCUUAUCCUCUUAUACCUCUGCCAUCACCAUGAGCCAAACAUCCCCCAAGUAGCCCACUGGUCCCAGGACAAGGAGGGAGACAUGAAGCAGAGCUCAUCCAGCUGCUGCAGCCCCACUUGACCCAGAGACCUACACUGGGAAGCAGAGCUGCCCAGUCAAGUCCAACCUGGAUGUGUGGAACCCCAGCCAACCUGAUGCAUGAGCAGGAGAUCAGCUUAAUAUUGAAUCCUAGCCUCAAUGCUUUGGAUUUGUGCCAAGAAAAAUAACCUGAUCCCCAGAAUCAUUGAGAAUUGACGGGGGUCCUCAGGCUGUGACUCUGGACAGUGAACAUUGGUGGAAAUUGGUUAUCCCCAAUUUCCAGCUCACGGCAUUGGAAGACAUCAUAAACAUUAAUGGAGAGCGGGAUGCCAGAAUAAGUUGAUCCAAAUGAUGCAGGAAUAUUUAGCAGCAAGGAGAAAGGAAUUCACAUUUCUCAGUACCCACUAUGUGCCAUACUUUGUGAUAAGAUGGUUUCCCUCCAAUAUAUCCUCAUUGUCAGCAAUGUCGGGAAACAGGAAUCAUUUCCCCUUCUACAGGUGAUAAAACUGAAGCAAGAAACAUACAGGCUAACAUCAGCUGAGCUGAGAUUUGAACUCCACUCUUUUUGACCCUGGAGCUGAUGAAUGCUGCUUCUAGAGGUUGAGUAUCCCUUAUCCGAAAUCCUUGGAACCAGGAGAUUUUUGGAUUUGGGAAUAUUUGCAUAUACAUAAUGAGAUAUCUUGGAGAUGGGACCCAAGUCUAAAUACAAAAUUAUUUUGUUGUAUAUACACCUUGUACACAUAGACUGAAGAUAAUUUUAUACAAUAUUUUAAAUAAUUUUGUGCGUGAAACAAAGUUGUGACUAUGUCUUGACUGUAAGACAUCUUGCAUGCAACCCAUCAUAUGAGGUCAGGUGCAGAAUUUUCCAUUUGUGGUGUCAUGUUAGUGCUCAAAAAUUUUCGGAUUUUGGAGCACUUCAGACUUUCGUUUUCCAGACGGGGGAUGCUCAACCUGUCUUAGAACCUGUGGUCUCCCAUCAUGCCUCCCUUCCCCAUUCCCUUGCUCCACUGGGGUCUGAGGUGGGAAAGCAAAAGGAGUUGCAGGUAACCCUCACUUUUCACACCAGGCAAUCUCUCCCCACAAUCUGUCACAUUCCUGAAGAACAAGGAAGCAGAGCACUCCACUGAAGAAAUUCUGUUAAAAUCUAUCCCCAACGUAUAAGCAUCCAUCUUUGUCCCAGUCUGGGUCUAACAUGAACAAAGUGCUUAAACAAUUCAGUAGAGGAGAAAGGGAACUUGGAGCAGCUCUGUCACCCUGAAGUGACACUGCCAUGCUGCAUUUCCUGUCUGUAAUAUCUCUUCAGAGCAAUUGUUUUCUUCUGUGAGGACACUUCAGAGAUUCACAGAGACAGAUGCUCUUGUGACUGACCAUAGCAAGUAUCAAAAGGCCUGGGUGGAAUUACGAAGCAUUUCUCGUGCACUGCGUAUUGGGAAGUGCUUCACAGCUGUGUGGCAGAUGUGAGUGGACAGAGGGGCAAGGGAACUGCCCCAAAGGAGGUGGCAGAGGAAGCAACAAGCCAGGGAUUGGCUGGCCGGUCCCAGCACAGCAACUGCAGCAGCAGCUUGCUAAGUUUCACAGGUGAAGCCAAAGGCUGGGGGGAAUGGAAAACAAAUAUCACUCCAUUAAAUUAAGGUCUGAGGAAAACAUGAUGAGGAAAGUCAAUAGUGAAUCAAAACAUUGAAAAGCCACUAACUUUGACUUUCCAUGUGCGUGUGCAAGUUCACGUGUGCAUGUGUGUCUGCAUGUCCAAGUUCUACACUGAUUCAAGAAAUAAUUAUAGAGGGCCUGCCAUAGGAUGGUGAGCAAAACAGUCUUGGCCUCUGUCCUGAUGGAGCAUGCAGUAUCACAGACUCUAUAUGUUCUAUUUCUAGGCCUUGUAUUUUGAGGAUAUAUGCCAGUGGAAUGAGAAUGGCUCUGUGACCUUGUUUAAGUCCCACCACUGUCUCAGGCAGGGUUUUCCAAAGUGUAGUCCUUAUACUAUUAUGUGGUGAAGAUGCUUAAUUGUUUUGUAAUUAUUUAAUGUGCGUAGGUAUCACAUCAAACCCAGUAUUUUCAAGGAUUUUUAUAGCUUAAGACAAGGCUUGUUAUAGGCAAGGUGGAUCAAUUCAAAAAAUAUAUGCUAACAAAAUAAUAGUGGAGGUGGUACAAAGAAACAGCAAAGGUAGUGAGAUGGCUUCACUGGUGUUUGUGAAUCACCAAGAUAAUGCACGUGGAAAUAAAAAUCAGUGUGGUCCAUAGAAAUACAAGGGGUUCUAAUUACCCCUCAGUGAGCACUUGCUCUCUCACUCACCCCAGCAAUGACAUAUUAAGCAAAGCACUGCCCUGACUGCAUAUGCUCUUGCCGACAACUUGGCCAGCAUUCAGAAGACACUAAGUGUGCUCUGGGAACUUCAGAAGGCACUAACAUUCCAUGGAGAACUUCACAAAGAGUGAGACCUAGUCCCUGGCCUAAAGAGAGUAUAAUUUAGUAGGAAAGAGAAGACAAACACACAAAUAACUGUAAAAUGGGAUAAGCCCCAAAGUGGAGGUACAAAGUCCCAUAGAAGAGGCUCAAUGAUAAGUCACGCCUGCCGGGUAAGGUCAAGAAAGACUUCAUGGAGAUUUGAGAUGGCAUCUGAGAUAAGCCAGGAAAGACGGUAGAAUUUCAACAACCAAAAAAGUGGGGAGAGGGAUGGGAGGCAUUCCAGAGAAGGAGAAAUGCUUGAGCAAUGGUACAGAGACCAGGAAGUUAUAUGAGGGCAGAAAGUCCCUGCUGUCUAUUUAGCUGGGAUAUAGAAUGCAAGUCAGUUAGAUGAUUAGGUGGGGUUAUAACAUAACUAGCCUUAAAUAGUGGACUGAGAAUUUUCCACUUAAUUUAAUGCAAAUGGCAGGGGAGGGGGCAGGCAAUGGAGAGCUGAAAACAGGACUGGAGAUGCGCUGGAGGGAAGUAACCCUGGAAAUGGGUGAAGUACGGGUUACUGUCACCCCAGCUCUGGUUCUUGUUAUUCCCUAGGAGAAGCAUAAUAGAAGUGUGAAUUUAGGGUAGCCAAAUGAUGACUUUGCAGAGGGAAUCUUUAGGACUUGUGACUUGAUUAAAAGCAGGGAGAUGGAUAGGGAACGUCCAAGGAUAACUAGAUAACUAGAGCUCUCCUGUUCCUCUGACUCAUGUGUGCUGAAACUGUAGAGUCAAACAAACACUUGUAAGUGGCGUGAUGUAAAUCCCUUAGGGGCCCAUGCCUGCCUCAAGAGAAGAACGUGUGGUCAGGAAAAACGACCGGGGGAAGUGAAAACGACACAAGACCCAGAGGAUAACCCUUAUUUUAUUCACACAUGCAAAUUUAGGCACAGCAAAAAGCAAAACGAAGUAUACCAAAUGUCAAGGGUUAAUUAUUAAUCAUUUCUAUAUUAAAUUAUGAGUUUUUCAGUAAGACACUUUUUGAUAAGAAACUUGAAUUACGUUCAUAACCAUCAAAAUAAAGAAAAUAAAAGAGACAGAUUUUCUUUGGUGGUGGGAGAACAUUAAGUAUUGUGGAAGCCUGAAAAAUGGUCCCCAAAAGAAUCUGGUCCUAAUCCUUAGAACUUGUGAGUAUUAUCUUACUUGGAAAAAGGGUUGUUUUAAGAUAAGGAUCUUGAGUUGGGAAGAUUGUCCUGAGUUAUUCAGGUAGGCUGUAAAUGCCAUCACAGGCAACCUUUUUACAUGGAUAUUUGACACAGAGUGGAGGAGACACCCAUAGGAGAAGGCUAUGUGAAGACAUAGCAUCGAGACACUUGAAGAUAUUGGCCUUCAAAUGGCACAGCCACAAGCAAAGGAAUGCCAGCAGCCACCAGGAAAAAGCAAAGAAUGGAUUCUCACCUAAAGUCUCCAGAGGGACUGUAGAGUAUCCUGCCAACACCUUGAUUUUGACUCUGUGAAACUGAUGUCAGGCUUCUGGCCUCCAGAACUGUGAGAGAAGAAAUUUCUGUUGUUUUAAACCUUCGAAUUUGUGGUAAUGUGUUAGAGCAGCCACAGGAAACUCAUAUUCUAAACUAGCAACUAUGAAAUGAGAAUUUCUAGUGUUCAGCUAAGAUACCACCGCAGAAGCAGCUGGAUAAUAUCAGAUGAGCCGAAAACUUCUCUUACCCCAUUUCCUUAUCCAUAAAAUUAGCAAAUAAUACCUGUCUUGCAGAGUUAAUUUUAAAGUUAUACAAGUAAAUACACUUUGAAAGUGACAAGUACUAGAAAAAUGUAGGGAAUUAUCCUACAAGUCUGGGUAUCCCCACCACCCAAGGCACAUGAAUGAUGCACAAUAAAAUAUACAAUUGGUUAGAAAUAGAACAAAGUGUUGAAAGUGCUUCAAAGCUCGAAAUGUAGGGCAUGAGGAAUGAAGGAAAUUCAGUUCAGGAAUAAAAUAUUUAUUCAGCAUCACUAAUAAGCCAGGCACUCUGCCAGAACCCAAAGGUAUAAAGAGGAACAAAUGAUAAUUCCUGCCCUGUGGAUGGCUUAUAGUCUAGGGUAGCAUUUUUACAGUGUGUUCACAGACCACUAAGCUCUCAAAUUUCUAUUUAAAGAUGCCAAAGGACCCAAGAUCAAGUGCUAUAUUCUAAUAUCUACCCUCUCCAUUUCCUACCCCCUCCCACAACCACACUUUCUGUAGACUCACAAUGUGUUAGUUAAUUUAAGGCAUUGAGUCCUGUUGUUAAUAAGCUGACUUGCCCUUAAUUAUCACAGGCUUUUCCAAAUUUCCUUGACAUGCACUAACCAUUUAACCUUGGGGAAAAGAAUGGAAUAACAUUCUUGCCUGCCUGUUGUAGCUGUCAUCAUAUUUAAAUGUAAUAAAACAUGGAAAGUGUUUAAUAAUUAUGGUGCUCUAGGCAAAAUAGCAGUCCUUCAAAAAUGCCCAUGCCCUAAUCUCCAGAACCUGUGAAUAUGUUACCUGACAUUGUAAAGCAACCUUGUAGGUGUGAUUAAAGUUACAAGCUCUGAGAAGAGAAAAUUACUCUGGAUUAUCUGGGUGGGCCCAGCUUAAUCAUAUGAACCCUUAAAAGUGGAGAAUGUUUUCCAGCUAAGGUCAGAGAAAGAGACUUGACAAAGGAAGAAGGGUCAUAGGGAUGUGAUACCGCUAGCUUUAGAGAUGAAGGAAGAGGACCACAGCCAAGAAAUGUGGGUAGCCUCUGAACACAAUACAAGGCAAGGACACGGGCUCUCUCCUUGAGCCUCUAGAAGGAGCACAGCCAUAAGGCAUUCUUAAACUAUGUCGCUUACCUUACCUACCUCAUCCACUUACUACUUGUAUGGCUAAUGGCAUGAGGAAGUCACUAAAACUCUCCGAGCCUUCCUGGCCUCCACUUAAAUGGGAGUGGUACCCACAGAGGGUCAGGAGGCUCAAUCAAAUCUCAAAUUCAUUAUCUCUUGCUUCUCAUGCACAAGUCAGUGUCAGCAGGAGGCAUCAGUGCUUCUGCAAAAAUAACUAAUUCAACAUUACUUUGUCAGAUCACAACCCUUCUUUGCUAAAACCUUCCAGAGGCUCCCUGUCUCACUCACAGAACAACCUCAUGGACUUCCUCUGUUCUCAGGAUUCUCAUGACACAAUAUGACCCCAUUUCCUCUGACUAUAGGUCCUUCCUCUCUCCCCCUUCCUGAUGGUGCUCCAGCCAUACUGGCCACCUUGCUGUUCCUGAGGCACACCAGGCAGCUUCCAGCCUCAGGACAUUUGCACUUGCUGUUUUCUCUGCUUAGAGCCCUCUUCCCCCAUAUCCACAUAGCUUGCUCCCUCAACUCCUUUAGAUCUUCAUUCGGCUAUUACCUUCUUCCUGAGGCCUUCCCUAACAACCCUAUGAAAAUUGCAAUACCUGCCAGCCAAACAUUCCCCAUCCUCCCUUCACUUUAAUUUCCGCCAUAGUAAUUUCAUCUUCUCACAUGCUGCAUAUUUAACUGUUUUGUUUACUUUCUUUCCUCCAUUGGAAUAUAAGCUCUAUCAGGGCUUUUCAUGAAGGACAUGCAAGUAGAUGCUUGAUAAAUAUUUGUUGGAUAAAUAAAUCAGUGCAUAUACCAAUCUGAAGUCACAAAAUCAAUAUGAGCAUCACCUUCCACUAAAGACAUAUCCUUUCAGUUAUCGAUGAAAAAUGAAGUUGAAAACACAAUAAUCAGCCUGUCAUUGAACAAUGCAGCUGCAGCUAAGAUCAAGUUCUUGACUGACUUUGCCGAGCCCAACCAAUUCAAAGGAAGAAUAAAAACAUGGUCAAGGGACCCAAGACCCAGCUCUUAUCCCCUACUCAGAGAAAACCCAGAGAGAACCAGCCUUCUGAUGUCUUGUCCUUCCUGGUUUUGACCAACCUCUAAAAACCAUAAGAACAGUUUGUCUCAGUAUUUCAGUACUUCCGCUUCCAGGCCCAGGAAAGAGCAGGAAGUGCAGGGGCGUGUGAAAAUCAAGAAAAAAGAAGAAUUAAACCCGCUACACAUGAAGCGCUCAAAGACUUCCUCUGUAACCUGUUGCAGCACACGAGUUUCAAUGUGCUUUCACUGAGAGCCCAGGGGGACUGUGCUGUCCCCAGAAUUUCGCACCAUGCCCCACACUCUCAAUGAACACUUGUUGCCUAAAAAAAAAAAAUUAAAUUUUAAGACCUUCAGUUUCUCUAUUUGUAUAAAGUGAUUAUAAAACCUACCUUAUGGAGCUGUCUGAUGAUCACAUAUGAAAUCGCAUAUGUUAAGUGCUUAUGCAGCGUCUGGCACAUGAUCAGCAUUAAUUUUAUGUGAACUGCCAUUUUGAUGGCAGUGGUGGCGAUCUGAUGGUGGAGGAGGUUUAGUUAGCGCUGGGUAGAUUGUAACAUAUACCUAUCCUUAAUGAUUUGUUCAACCUGGAAUUUUGGACGGAGCCUGGGCCUGAGGAGUUGAACCUUAGAGUGAUCCAUUUCUCUUGGAAAAGUCCUGUUCAGUUUGAGCAAGAAACUCUGGAAAGGGGAAGGAUGUAUUUUAAUCCCAGCUACCAGGGUGACAGGCAGCAGAACUGAAACAGCAUGACUAAGCACAGACCAUCUCCUUUCAUUACAUGGGGGGCUGAGGUCUUUCCUCUCUACUGCCAGGGACUGGAGAAAGGAAAG
RNAcentral lists this long non-coding RNA (8164 nucleotides) under Homo sapiens (human). Its description in RNAcentral is "HSALNT0359119". Lineage: Eukaryota; Metazoa; Chordata; Mammalia; Primates; Hominidae. The record is from RNAcentral.